Molecule: unclassified non-coding RNA, 253 nt
Filed under: uncultured Bradymonadales bacterium
Lineage: Bacteria; Deltaproteobacteria; Bradymonadales
Description: contains 16S-23S intergenic spacer region
Rfam family: Bacterial small subunit ribosomal RNA
Source: RNAcentral
UACGGAGGGUGCAAGCGUUGUUCGGAAUCAUUGGGCGUAAAGCGCGCGUAGGCGGCCCGUUAAGUCCGGUGUGAAAGCCCGGGGCUCAACCCCGGAGGUGCAUCGGAAACUGGCGGGCUUGAAUCCGAGAGGGGUCAGUGGAAUUCCUGGAGUAGGGGUGAAAUCCGUAGAUAUCAGGAGGAACACCGGCGGCGAAGGCGACUGACUGGAUCGGCAUUGACGCUGAGGCGCGAAAGCGUGGGUAGCAAACAGG